CCCUAGUAUAAAAGUUAAUUUAAAAUUAUUAUAAAGUAGAAAUUUAAAAUUUUUGGCGGUAGAUUAUUUUGUUAGAGGAGCUUGUUGUCUAGAAAUUACUCUUUAGAUCUUAUUAAUAUAAGUUUAUUUAUUUCCGUUAUAAGGUGUUAAGCUUAAUAAGUUAAUUCUUUUAUUUCAGGUCAAGAUGUAGCAAUUAUUAAUUAAAAUUAGCUACAUUAAAAAUUUUAUGGAAUGAUAUAGGGAAAAAUCAUGAAAUUGAAUUUAAUUGUAAUUUAAUUUAAAAUGAUUAGAUGAAUUUAAUAUAUUCUAUGUA
This 313-nucleotide ribosomal RNA is filed under the name Paecilaema paraense. RNAcentral describes it as "partial small subunit ribosomal RNA". The record is from RNAcentral. Lineage: Eukaryota; Metazoa; Arthropoda; Arachnida; Opiliones; Cosmetidae.